UUAGUGGCGGACGGGUGAGUAACACGUGGGAACGUGCCCUUUGGUACGGAAUAACUCAGGGAAACUUGAGCUAAUACCGUAUGUGCCCUUCGGGGGAAAGAUUUAUCGCCAUUGGAGCGGCCCGCGUCUGAUUAGCUAGUUGGUGAGGUAAAGGCUCACCAAGGCGACGAUCAGUAGCUGGUCUGAGAGGAUGAUCAGCCACAUUGGGACUGAGACACGGCCCAAACUCCUACGGGAGGCAGCAGUGGGGAAUCUUGCGCAAUGGGCGAAAGCCUGACGCAGCCAUGCCGCGUGAAUGAUGAAGGUCUUAGGAUUGUAAAAUUCUUUCACCGGGGACGAUAAUGACGGUACCCGGAGAAGAAGCCCCGGCUAACUUCGUGCCAGCAGCCGCGGUAAUACGAAGGGGGCUAGCGUUGCUCGGAAUUACUGGGCGUAAAGGGAGCGUAGGCGGACAUUUAAGUCAGGGGUGAAAUCCCGGGGCUCAACCUCGGAAUUGCCUUUGAUACUGGGUGUCUUGAGUAUGAGAGAGGUGUGUGGAACUCCGAGUGUAGAGGUGAAAUUCGUAGAUAUUCGGAAGAACACCAGUGGCGAAGGCGACACACUGGCUCAUUACUGACGCUGAGGCUCGAAAGCGUGGGGAGCAAACAGGAUUAGAUACCCUGGUAGUCCACGCCGUAAACGAUGAUUGCUAGUUGUCGGGAUGCAUGCAUUUCGGUGACGCAGCUAACGCAUUAAGCAAUCCGCCUGGGGAGUACGGUCGCAAGAUUAAAACUCAAAGGAAUUUGACGGGGGCCCGCACAAGCGGUGGAGCAUGUGGUUUAAUUCGAAGCAACGCGCAGAAACCUUACCACCC
This 853-nucleotide ribosomal RNA is filed under the name Brevundimonas sp. HPCAQKh2-27b. RNAcentral describes it as "bacterial SSU rRNA". It matches the Rfam family "Bacterial small subunit ribosomal RNA", at positions 92 to 979 of the family's 1533-position model. The record is from RNAcentral. Lineage: Bacteria; Pseudomonadati; Pseudomonadota; Alphaproteobacteria; Caulobacterales; Caulobacteraceae.